UGCAGUCGAGCGGAAACGAGUUAUCUGAACCUUCGGGGAACGAUAACGGCGUCGAGCGGCGGACGGGUGAGUAAUGCCUAGGAAAUUGCCCUGAUGUGGGGGAUAACCAUUGGAAACGAUGGCUAAUACCGCAUGAUGCCUACGGGCCAAAGAGGGGGACCUUCGGGCCUCUCGCGUCAGGAUAUGCCUAGGUGGGAUUAGCUAGUUGGUGAGGUAAGGGCUCACCAAGGCGACGAUCCCUAGCUGGUCUGAGAGGAUGAUCAGCCACACUGGAACUGAGACACGGUCCAGACUCCUACGGGAGGCAGCAGUGGGGAAUAUUGCACAAUGGGCGCAAGCCUGAUGCAGCCAUGCCGCGUGUGUGAAGAAGGCCUUCGGGUUGUAAAGCACUUUCAGUCGUGAGGAAGGYRGUGUAGUUAAUAGCUGCAUYRUUUGACGUUAGCGACAGAAGAAGCACCGGCUAACUCCGUGCCAGCAGCCGCGGUAAUACGGAGGGUGCGAGCGUUAAUCGGAAUUACUGGGCGUAAAGCGCAUGCAGGUGGUUUGUUAAGUCAGAUGUGAAAGCCCGGGGCUCAACCUCGGAAUUGCAUUUGAAACUGGCAGACUAGAGUACUGUAGAGGGGGGUAGAAUUUCAGGUGUAGCGGUGAAAUGCGUAGAGAUCUGAAGGAAUACCGGUGGCGAAGGCGGCCCCCUGGACAGAUACUGACACUCAGAUGCGAAAGCGUGGGGAGCAAACAGGAUUAGAUACCCUGGUAGUCCACGCCGUAAACGAUGUCUACUUGGAGGUUGUGGCCUUGAGCCGUGGCUUUCGGAGCUAACGCGUUAAGUAGACCGCCUGGGGAGUACGGUCGCAAGAUUAAAACUCAAAUGAAUUGACGGGGGCCCGCACAAGCGGUGGAGCAUGUGGUUUAAUUCGAUGCAACGCGAAGAACCUUACCUACUCUUGACAUCCAGAGAACUUUCCAGAGAUGGAUUGGUGCCUUCGGGAACUCUGAGACAGGUGCUGCAUGGCUGUCGUCAGCUCGUGUUGUGAAAUGUUGGGUUAAGUCCCGCAACGAGCGCAACCCUUAUCCUUGUUUGCCAGCGAGUAAUGUCGGGAACUCCAGGGAGACUGCCGGUGAUAAACCGGAGGAAGGUGGGGACGACGUCAAGUCAUCAUGGCCCUUACGAGUAGGGCUACACACGUGCUACAAUGGCGCAUACAGAGGGCAGCCAACCUUGCGAAAGUGAGCGAAUCCCAAAAAGUGCGUCGUAGUCCGGAUUGGAGUCUGCAACUCGACUCCAUGAAGUCGGAAUCGCUAGUAAUCGUGGAUCAGAAUGCCACGGUGAAUACGUUCCCGGGCCUUGUAC
This 1351-nucleotide ribosomal RNA is filed under the name Vibrio parahaemolyticus. Its description in RNAcentral is "partial 16S ribosomal RNA". It matches the Rfam family "Bacterial small subunit ribosomal RNA", at positions 56 to 1386 of the family's 1533-position model. Lineage: Bacteria; Pseudomonadati; Pseudomonadota; Gammaproteobacteria; Vibrionales; Vibrionaceae. The record is from RNAcentral.